RNAcentral lists this ribosomal RNA (464 nucleotides) under uncultured Klebsiella sp. RNAcentral describes it as "bacterial SSU rRNA". It matches the Rfam family "Bacterial small subunit ribosomal RNA", at positions 338 to 795 of the family's 1533-position model. The record is from RNAcentral. Lineage: Bacteria; Pseudomonadati; Pseudomonadota; Gammaproteobacteria; Enterobacterales; Enterobacteriaceae.
CCUACGGGUGGCAGCAGUGGGGAAUAUUGCACAAUGGGCGCAAGCCUGAUGCAGCCAUGCCGCGUGUGUGAAGAAGGCCUUCGGGUUGUAAAGCACUUUCAGCGGGGAGGAAGGCGGUGAGGUUAAUAACCUCAUCGAUUGACGUUACCCGCAGAAGAAGCACCGGCUAACUCCGUGCCAGCAGCCGCGGUAAUACGGAGGGUGCAAGCGUUAAUCGGAAUUACUGGGCGUAAAGCGCACGCAGGCGGUCUGUCAAGUCGGAUGUGAAAUCCCCGGGCUCAACCUGGGAACUGCAUUCGAAACUGGCAGGCUAGAGUCUUGUAGAGGGGGGUAGAAUUCCAGGUGUAGCGGUGAAAUGCGUAGAGAUCUGGAGGAAUACCGGUGGCGAGGGCGGCCCCCUGGACAAAGACUGACGCUCAGGUGCGAAAGCGUGGGGAGCAAACAGGAUUAGAUACCCUGUAGUC